Molecule: long non-coding RNA, 624 nt
Organism: Hypanus sabinus (Atlantic stingray)
Lineage: Eukaryota; Metazoa; Chordata; Chondrichthyes; Myliobatiformes; Dasyatidae
Exons: 3
Source: RefSeq, a predicted model, not a curated record
GGCCAGGGCGGGGGCGAGGAUGGAGCCGCUCCGCUGGUCCUGGCGCCGGCACUCCAUGCCCGCCGCAAGCAGCAGGCGAGGUUUCAGAGGACUGGCAAGUAAUUAACGUUGUUCCAUUAUUCAAGAAGGAAAAUAGGAAUAUUCCUGUAAACAAGAGACCGCAUUAGGUGGGACUCUUCUAACACAAAAUGGAGAACAAUUGACUGGUAACUUCGGUCAUGAAUUACCCUUGUCGUACCCACAAUGAAUUUCAUAUAAAGGAACUUUUGAUGGCUUCAUUUAAAAUGCAAUACCCUUUUUGAUGCUGUUGGGCUAUGAUUGGGAAUGGAAAUCUGGGUUCUGUUUAACCAGGAAAGUUCACCUUUGGAUGCUCUUGGGAUAUCUGGGUUUUUAUCACCUCAGAGCUGAGCCAGGGCAUGUGAAUUAUUUAUCUUUGUACUUCACUGCUAUCCAGCCUACAGUGACCCCUCACCUGCUCCCCUUGGGCUUCAGCUUGCUUCUUAAACCAUAUUAGCUGAGAUUCAGCCUUUGACUGUGGAAUCGGCCUCACUUGUGUCUCAGAUUCUGAGCUGCUACUCGCAAAAGUCGAUUCUGCUGGUUUCUGGUCUCUGACGCAAGAUGCCA